CUGUAGCCAUAGUAACAAGGGCACCAAAAAGAGAAACAAAGUAAGCCAGCGGACCUACUGGGUGGGGAGAAGGGGCGGCUGCCCUGAGGCCCUAGGCCCUAGGGGCAGAUGGUCCUUCAUUCCCAGUCCAAACUAGACCUUUCCACAGCCUCCGUGCCCGUCAAAGCCUGAAGAGGUUUCAUCAACAUUCUCAAAAUUGUGUGUUGGACCACCUGGCUGGACUCUAGACCCCCAGAGACAGAUCUGCCCACAGACCCACCCCUUGCUGUCUGUUCAAGAUGAAGAAACUGAGACAGGAGGAGUUGAGCCAUGGGCCCAGGACUAUCUCCGACUAGCAAAAACCAAAGCAACAACAGCAACGGAAAUUUUCUUCAUAUUGGCUGUACAGAAAUGCAACCAGGUGCAAAUUUAUCCAAAAUUCCAGAAAAACAAAUGAGCCAAUAAAUCAGAUUUGGGCUUGUUUACCCUCUCUCCUCUUGCUUACAAAACUGUGUUCAUGCUUUUGUCUGUUCACAGACAAGUGGGAGAUGCUUGGGGACACCUGUCUUCUUCUAGAUGUUUGCCCUGGGGGAACACACACAAGAGUUGUCACAAAUCCUUGGAGAACCACUUCUCACAGAAGGUUGGUUCUCUUCCCCACCUCUCUGCACGCCCCCCCCCCAUUAAAACAUGGCCAUUGAGAUAGUAAAGACGGGAGGUAGGAAGGCAUGUGUACCAUCGCCAACACCAGGAGACCACAGCAGACAUUACUGAUGGAUCAAGGCAUUACUGAUGGAUCAAGACAUUACUGAUGGAUCAAUCCCUCCCAGCCUGGACUUGGGGUCGCAAUCCUCCAGAGCCUUACCAGUUAACCAGAGCUGGCAACUAAGGUGGGAACGACGUGAGAUCCCACAGAGCCCAAGCCCCUCAGUGUAUAGAUGACGACACCAACAGUCCAAGAACGGGGAGUGAUUCAUGUGAGAUCACACGGCACAAUUCCUAGCAAAAUGAGCCCUCUGCUCAGCUCUGUGCUCCAACAGAUGUGACUGAUACGGGGACGAGGGCCUCCCCUGAGGCUGAAGAAGAAGGGCCAGAGGAAGGUGGAGACUCUCCUCAGGCAAGGACCAUCCUUUUGUUCUUUGGCAAUUUACCAACGUAUUUCUAAUCAUUUGCUUCAUUUCUGCGAGCAACCUAGCAUGGCAGGCGUUAGCAGUCCCAUCUCGCAGGUGAUGAAUCUAUGACACAGAGAGGACAAGUGACGGUCCCAAGGUCAUCCUUCCACGAGGUGGCAGCGUCAGGACCAGGACCCCAACCUGAGUUCCAAUUAUGUCCUCCUUCUUGCUGCCAAGAAUCUCAUCCACGGAAAAGAGAAAAAGAAACAAGUUUCCCUGUUAGAACUGCCUGUAGAAGGAGGAAGAGGAGGAAGAGGAGGAAGAAAGGAAGGAAGGAGUUUCUUUGAGGUUCACCCAUGUAGCUAUAGAUCAUUCUUUUUCAUUGCUAUGUAUAUUUCUACCUUAUAAAUAUACCUCACUUUGUUAUCCAUUUUUCUGUUGACAUAUAUUCAGAAAUGCAGAUUAAAA
Mustela erminea (ermine) is the source of this 1559-nucleotide long non-coding RNA. RefSeq lists it as uncharacterized. The record is from RefSeq and is a predicted model, not a curated record. The transcript is spliced from 4 exons. NCBI's taxonomy places the organism in Eukaryota, Metazoa, Chordata, Mammalia, Carnivora, Mustelidae.